AAACGACUCUCGGCAACGGAUAUCUCGGCUCUUGCAUCGAUGAAGAACGUAGCGAAAUGCGAUACUUGGUGUGAAUUGCAGAAUCCCGUGAACCAUCGAGUUUUUGAACGCAAGUUGCGCCCGAGGCCAUUUAGGUUGAGGGCACGUCUGCCUGGGCGUCACACACA
Molecule: ribosomal RNA, 167 nt
Filed under: Eranthis hyemalis
Lineage: Eukaryota; Viridiplantae; Streptophyta; Magnoliopsida; Ranunculales; Ranunculaceae
Description: 5.8S nuclear ribosomal RNA
Rfam family: 5.8S ribosomal RNA
About the family: 5.8S ribosomal RNA (5.8S rRNA) is a component of the large subunit of the eukaryotic ribosome. It is transcribed by RNA polymerase I as part of the 45S precursor that also contains 18S and 28S rRNA.
Source: RNAcentral